RNAcentral lists this ribosomal RNA (253 nucleotides) under uncultured bacterium. RNAcentral describes it as "partial 16S ribosomal RNA". It matches the Rfam family "Bacterial small subunit ribosomal RNA", at positions 524 to 776 of the family's 1533-position model. The record is from RNAcentral.
UACAGAGGUGGCGAGCGUUGUUCGGAUUUACUGGGCGUAAAGGGUGCGUAGGCGGUUCUGUGUGUCGGAUGUGAAAUCUUGCCGUUCAACGGCAAAACUUCAUUCGAAACUACAGAUCUCGAGUGCAGGAGAGGAGAGCGGAAGUCUCGGUGUAGCGGUGAAAUGCGUUGAUAUCGAGAGGAACGCCGGAGGCGAAGGCGGCUCUCUGGACUGGAACUGACGCUGAGGCACGAAAGCUAGGGGAGCAAACAGG